UGGGGAAUCUUGCGCAAUGGGCGAAAGCCUGACGCAGCGACGCCGCGUGGGUGAUGAAGGCCUUCGGGUUGUAAAGCCCUGUGGGGAGGGACGAAUAACAACGAUCUAAUACGUCGUUGGAUGACGGUACCUCCUUAGCAAGCACCGGCUAACUCUGUGCCAGCAGCCGCGGUAAGACAGAGGGUGCAAACGUUGUUCGGAAUUACUGGGCGUAAAGCGCGUGUAGGCGGUUAUGCAAGUCGGGUGUGAAAGCCCAGGGCUCAACCCUGGAAGUGCAUUCGAUACUGCGUAGCUAGAGUACUGGAGAGGAUGGUGGAACUCUGGGUGUAGAGGUGAAAUUCGUAGAUAUCCAGAAGAACACCGGUGGCGAAGGCGGCCGAUCUGGACAGAUACUGACGCUGAGACGCGAAGCGUGGGGAGCAACAGGAUUAGAUACCCUGGUAGUCCGACGCCGUAAACGACUGGGUGCUAGGUGUCACGGGUAUU
Molecule: ribosomal RNA, 486 nt
Filed under: uncultured Pseudomonadota bacterium
Lineage: Bacteria; Pseudomonadati; Pseudomonadota
Description: bacterial SSU rRNA
Rfam family: Bacterial small subunit ribosomal RNA
Source: RNAcentral